Culex pipiens pallens (northern house mosquito) is the source of this 464-nucleotide long non-coding RNA. RefSeq lists it as uncharacterized. The transcript is spliced from 3 exons. NCBI's taxonomy places the organism in Eukaryota, Metazoa, Arthropoda, Insecta, Diptera, Culicidae. The record is from RefSeq and is a predicted model, not a curated record.
AAGAACGAUCGAGACAAGGGAGCUUUGGUUUAGGUCACCUACCUUCAUCACAUCGUUGAGAGAGAGGCCGUUCACUUUGGCGGAUGCGUCGAACACCACGCGGCACUUGGUGGUAGUAUUCGACGGGCGAAGAACGGCGUGUGUCCAAGCUUCUCGUACUCUUCCAUGAACUCGACGUACUGCUUCUUCAACUCCGGCUGUUGUGCAAGCUUUCUCUCCAGAGCGUAGAAUCUUCGCAGCGCCAUCGUACGUGAAUCGCCGAGCUCGGCGACCGACUCUUUGAGCGGAAGCUCCACCACGUACCUCCCAGUUGCAUCCCGACGCUCCCAAAAACGUUGAACGGUGCGGUUCAAGUCUUCCAGUGUGGCUGAGUGCGAGUGAACCACUGCUGCAGCUUCGUCUUCUUCAUCGCACACGCCACCAACGACCCAGCCGAACUGAGUCUCGCGUAGCAUUGGCAGGUG